GCCUGCAGGUAUGUGGCAUCAAAAAUUGGGAGCCUGUGUGGCCACAGAGGUGAGGAGCCCCUUACCACCACGGCCCACCCAGCUGACCACAGCCAGAACCAAAAUGUAAACACGGUGGUAUCAGAAGCCCCUCCCCGAGUGACGGACGCAGUCACUAGGAACAAGAUGCUCGGCCCUGAACAGCCCUGUGGAUCCUGAGGGUAGAUGGCCUCAGGGCCCUCCUUGGAAGCCCUUGGCCUUCUUUCUCACUGACUCCGCGAGGGUCUUGGUCUGCUGGUGCUCCUGUUCCCCAGGGCUCGGAAAUGUGUGUUCACCAGUCAAUCCAUCUUGCAUUUACUCUCUAUACAUUUGUAUAACAGUAUGAAUUGUCCUUAUUAACCCCUUGCCACAAGGGUUUCCCAGCAUGAAAGACAAAUUAAGUCCGACACUCAGCAUCUGCUAGAACUGCUGCCUGCAAAACUCAUUCCAUGCUCUGUACAGGGGCCAGGGAGAAUAUGUUACCCUUCUCAAUGUAAUAACAAACCAAAGUCGUAUUCAAUAUGUAUAUAGGGCCAAAUACUGGUCUCAUGUAUACUGGUGUAACUUCAGAGUAACUUCACUGAAGUUAAUAGAGUCUGAUCCUCAUCUGGUAUAAAUUAGUAUUGCUCCAUUGAUUGGAGCUAUGCUGAUUUGCACCAGCUGAGGAUCUGGACCAGAGUAGCCCUGAGUUUACACUGGUGUAGCAGAGAACAGAAUCUGGCCUUCAGGGCUAAAAAUUGUCUCUAAAACGGUCAUAAAGCAGAGAAACUCCAUUGAUUUCAAUGAAGUUACUCUGGAUCUACACUGAAGUAAGAGAGAGCAGAAUUUGGCCCAUGGAGGGAAGAUACCCCCCUUGCAUGUGUGGAUGGAUCUGACCCUCGGUGAUCCGAUUUCCUUUCCUCUGGGAAGUUCUCCCUGUAUUGUCACAGUGAGCAAUGACGACAGAUUCACAAACUCCUUUGUGUGGAGAUGAACAAGUCCGAAUCCUUCCUGUGCUACAAACCCACAAUUCAACCAGCAAUAAAGACUAAAAUCAGAAUGAAA
This is a long non-coding RNA of Trachemys scripta elegans, 1062 nucleotides long. RefSeq lists it as uncharacterized. The transcript has 2 exons. NCBI's taxonomy places the organism in Eukaryota, Metazoa, Chordata, Testudines, Emydidae. The record is from RefSeq and is a predicted model, not a curated record.